This 500-nucleotide ribosomal RNA is filed under the name uncultured bacterium. RNAcentral's name for it is "partial 16S ribosomal RNA". It matches the Rfam family "Bacterial small subunit ribosomal RNA", at positions 30 to 523 of the family's 1533-position model. The record is from RNAcentral.
AUUGAACGCUGGCGGAAUGCUUUACACAUGCAAGUCGAACGGCAGCACGGACUUCGGUCUGGUGGCGAGUGGCGAACGGGUGAGUAAUGUAUCGGAACGUGCCCAGUCGUGGGGGAUAACGUAGUGAAAAUUACGCUAAUACCGCAUACGAUCUAUGGAUGAAAGCGGGGGAUCGCAAGACCUCGCGCGAUUGGAGCGGCCGAUAUCAGAUUAGGUAGUUGGUGGGGUAAAGGCCCACCAAGCCAACGAUCUGUAGCUGGUCUGAGAGGACGAGCAGCCACACUGGAAAGGAGACACGGUCCAGACUCCUACGGGAGGCAGCAGUGGGGAAUUUUGGACAAUGGGCGAAAGCCUGAUCCAGCCAUUCCGCGUGCAGGAUGAAGGCCCUCGGGUUGUAAACUGCUUUUGUACAGAACGAAAAGGUUUCUACUAAUACUAGGAGCUCAUGACGGUACUGUAAGAAUAAGCACCGGCUAACUACGUGCCAGCCGCCGCUGUAA